CAGUCGCCGCGGGAAUACGUAGGUGGCAAGCGUUGUCCGGAAUUAUUGGGCAUAAAGGGCUCGCAGGCGGUUUCUUAAGUCUGAUGUGAAAGCCCCCGGCUCAACCGGGGAGGGUCAUUGGAAACUGGGAAACUUGAGUGCAGAAGAGGAGAGUGGAAUUCCACGUGUAGCGGUGAAAUGCGUAGAGAUGUGGAGGAACACCAGUGGCGAAGGCGACUCUCUGGUCUGUAACUGACGCUGAGGAGCGAAAGCGUGGGGAGCGAACAGGAUUAGAUACCCGUGUAGUCCCUGUCUCUUAUAC
This 301-nucleotide ribosomal RNA is filed under the name uncultured bacterium. RNAcentral's name for it is "partial 16S ribosomal RNA". It matches the Rfam family "Bacterial small subunit ribosomal RNA", at positions 509 to 807 of the family's 1533-position model. The record is from RNAcentral.